This 1364-nucleotide ribosomal RNA is filed under the name human gut metagenome. Its description in RNAcentral is "bacterial LSU rRNA". It matches the Rfam family "Bacterial large subunit ribosomal RNA", at positions 943 to 2333 of the family's 2925-position model. The record is from RNAcentral.
GUCGUCGGCAGCGUCAGAUGUGUAUAAGAGACAGGGAGUCAGACUAUGUGAGAUAAGUUUCAUAGUCAAAAGGGAAAGAGCCCAGACCGACAGCUAAGGUCCCAAAGUGUGUGUUAAGUGGAAAAGGAUGUUAGGUUUCUAAGACAACUAGGAUGUUGGCUCAGAAGCAGCCACUCAUUUAAAGAGUGCGUAACAGCUCACUAGUCGAGAGGUCUAGCGCCGAAAAUGUCCGGGGCUAAAACACACCACCGAAGCUACGGAAUUGCCUAUGGUAAUUGGUAGAGGAGCAUUCUGUAAGGAUGAAGCACAAUUGAAAGAGAGUGUGGACGAAACAGAAGAGAGAAUGCCGGAAUGAGUAGCGAGAUAUAUGUGAGAAUCAUAUAGGUCGAAUGUCUAAGGUUUCCUGGGUAAAGCUGAUCUGCUCAGGGUAAGUCGGGACCUAAGGUGAGGGCGAGAGCCGUAAUCGAUGGACAACAGGUAGAAAUUCCUGUACUACGUAUAAUCAGAACUGUGGGGACGCAGGAGGAUAGGAAAACCGGAGAAUGGAAAUAUCCGGCUAAGUACAAAGGUGUGAGUGAUAGGCAAAUCCGUCACUAUUAGCUGAAGUACGAAUGGGAGCGAAGAAAAGUAGCGAAGUUUCUGAAUCCACACUGUCAAGAAAAGCCGCUAUUGCGUUAUACGUACCCGUACCGCAAACCGACACAGGUAGACGAGGAGAAAAUCCACAGACCGACGGGAGAAGUGUUGUUAAGGAACUCGGCAAAAUGACCCCGUAACUUAGGGAUAAGGGGAGCCAACGCAAGUUGGUCACAGAAAAGAGGCUCAAGCGACUGUUUAGCAAAAACAUAGGUCUAUGCGAAACCGUAAGGUGAUGUAUAUGGGCUGACACCUGCCCGGUGCUGGAAGGUCAAAAGGAGAGGUUAGCGUAAGCGAAGCUUUGAAUUUAAGCCCCAGUAAACGGCGGCCGUAACUAUAACGGUCCUAAGGUAGCGAAAUUCCUUGUCAGGUAAGUUCUGACCCGCACGAAAGGUGUAACGAUUUGAGCACUGUCUCGACAACACGCCCGGUGAAAUUGAAGAACCAGUGAAGAUACUGGUUACCCGCAACAGGACGGAAAGACCCCAUGGAGCUUUACUGCAGCUUAAUAUUGGGAUUCGGUAUUGUAUGUACAGGAUAGGAGGGAGACUAAGAAGCUAGCACGCCAGUGUUGGUGGAGUCGAUGGUGGGAUACCUCUCUUAUAAUACUGAAUUUCUAACCUACUUCCGUGAUCCGGAAGAGGGACAUUGUUAGGCGGGCAGUUUGACUGGGGCGGUCGCCUCCGAAAGAGUAACGGAGGCGCUCAAAGGUCUUCUCAGAAUGAUUG